Bradysia coprophila is the source of this 865-nucleotide long non-coding RNA. RefSeq lists it as uncharacterized. The record is from RefSeq and is a predicted model, not a curated record. Lineage: Eukaryota; Metazoa; Arthropoda; Insecta; Diptera; Sciaridae.
AAACGACAUUGACAAUGAUCUAUUUCUCUUUCAAAACACUUCCCUGUCAAAACAGUCUAUGACAGUUGUUGCUGUCAUAAUAAACAACAAGACGUUCAUAUUCAAAAUACGAGAGAAGAGAAGCAAACAGAACUCGCGUUUGCCGACGACUAUCAUCGCUUGAGGUGAAUAGAUAAAGGAAAGCUGCUGUAAUGUUGCAGAAGACGACGACAGCAGUUAUCCUGCUGAUAACAGGGAGUCAGUGCUCUCCAAUACCUGGUUUCACUCUCAAUGGAAAAUAUUACGACCUGCAGUGGAGGUCAACGGAAUAAACAUAUUGGAUAUAUAGUACUGCAAGCAGAUAAAACACUGAUCUUACUAUAGAUGGUCGCUGGUAAUAAAAGGAGCUUGCACUCUGAAACACUCUUCGUGUCGGAGAAAGAGAAAAUGGGAAAGAUUAAAUGUGGAUAUACAGUGUACGGAGCGUGGGACCAAAGAGGGCUGAAUAAAUUAAACAUAGUACUAGUACAUGUACAAUAACUGCCUUAGAAUCUUCAUAUCGAGAUAAGCAGAGUCCAAACAGUUUCCGAAGCUCCUUGCUGGUCCCAAAAGAACCGAAAAAUCGACCUAACAAAAAAAUCGAAUUAUUUUCUUUUUUAUGUACAAGAACGACUAAAAACAUUUAUUGUCAACAAGAGGUCUGAUAAAUUUUUUUACAGCCCACAACGAUCGCAUUCAAAGAACUUAAGUAUUUGAAAACUGAUGGAAUGCGGAUAUCGACAAAGCACUUCAAGCAAAAUUGAUUAUAGUGAUCAGCUGCAGAAAGUACUCUAUUUUCAAGUCAGCUCUCUAGCAACAUACACGGUUGAUUUGAAACGAGAUUAAA